This is a long non-coding RNA of Rosa chinensis, 422 nucleotides long. RefSeq lists it as uncharacterized. The transcript is spliced from 2 exons. NCBI's taxonomy places the organism in Eukaryota, Viridiplantae, Streptophyta, Magnoliopsida, Rosales, Rosaceae. The record is from RefSeq and is a predicted model, not a curated record.
UCGCUCUCGAAAUGGCGGGAAAGGACCUACCCGAUGAGAUCGCAGUGGAAAUCCUCUGCUCCGAUUCAGAUCGGUCUCGAAACGGUGGCGUUUGAUUAUCUCCGAUCCAGAAUUCGCCAAAUCUCAGUUUCCAAGUAUCUUCCAACUCCAGUCGGAGGAGACACCUCCUCUACUUCAAAUCAACGCUUGUCCACACAAAGAUGAAAUCAAGAGGAGAACAAUUGCUCGGUGCAAGUACUGCUGGGGUAUUGGAAUUUAGGGUUGCACGAACAAAUGCUUGGACAGUUGAAGUUAGGCAUUCCAGAGGAAGUUGUUGCACAAUACCAUUUGUUUAAACUCAAGUGUUUAGUUGGUCAUUGAUUUUCAUGGUUUGACUUUGAAAGAUCAGAGAAUAUUCUGAGCAUGUGCUAUGCUUUGGUUUG